CCUCACCAACAAUGGAAGCCAUGCUUGCCAAACUAUUCAGGGACUUAGGAAUGCCAUUAGAGCUCAUAGCAGGAGUAUAUGAACUACGUUCAUGGAAAGCCUCCCAGAGGAUAUGAGGUGCCAACAAUUCUAAAUUCGCUACAGAGAAGUGUACAAGCAGUUUUGGUGGGAAAAAUUCAAAUUCAGGACUGGUUUAGUAAUGGCAUUAAGAAAGCAGCUUUAAUGCACAAGUGGCCAUUAAAAGAAAUAUCUGUUGAUGAAGAUGACCAAUGUCUACUUCAGAAUGAUGGAUUUUUUCUUUAUCUAUUAUGCAAGGAUGGAUUAUAUAAAAUAGGCUCUGGAUACAGUGGAACAGUUAGGGGUCAUAUAUACAAUUCUACAUCCCGUAUUAGA
This 393-nucleotide small RNA is filed under the name Pongo abelii (Sumatran orangutan). RNAcentral describes it as "processed transcript". Lineage: Eukaryota; Metazoa; Chordata; Mammalia; Primates; Hominidae. The record is from RNAcentral.